GCAUGUGAGAGCAAUCUGUCACCCCAUCGGUUGCCAGGAUCGAUGUGACUGACCCAGUUGGCCGGGUGGGUGUUCCCUUCCUCCCUCAUCUCUUCACGUGCACCCCUCUAAAACUGCCUGCUUUGUUGCAGAAGGUAACCUUCCCCAGUAGAGGAGGACUUUUCUUCCAUCCAGGUUAUAAAAGUAGUUGUUUCUCUACUGGAACCUCCAAAGAAGCUCUCAAGGUCCACUGAUAUGUUUUAAAGCCUGAAAAUUAAUGUUUCAAUGAAAGAAAUGACAAAUAAACACAUAAUUACAAUUGAUUGU
This is an unclassified non-coding RNA of Fukomys damarensis (Damara mole-rat), 306 nucleotides long. Its record names the gene 7SK. It matches the Rfam family "7SK RNA". From Rfam's summary of the family: 7SK was discovered as an abundant small nuclear RNA in the mid-70s but a possible function has only recently been suggested. Two independent studies have found that 7SK RNA binds the CDK9/cyclin T complex (known as elongation factor P-TEFb). NCBI's taxonomy places the organism in Eukaryota, Metazoa, Chordata, Mammalia, Rodentia, Bathyergidae. The record is from Ensembl.